AACCCAUUCCAUCCAUUCAAAUUCAAUCCCCUUUCCAUCCACUGCUUCCUCCGCCUCCGCCUCCGCCUCCGCCUCCGCCGCUGCCUACUUCUUCCAUUUUCGGCUCCUCUGUCUCUGCCUCCUCCUAGCAGCAGAAGAACUGAAGAAAAGGUUAGAAUACACAAACUCUUGAAGAAAACAGAGGCAAAAAGUUAAGAGACAAAAAAGGAAGGAGGUGGAUAUGAUGCUUACAAAAGGUUAAUAAUUUGAUUUAAAAAAAAAGAAAAAAAAAGAAAAAAGAAAGCUGCGAGCAGUGAUGCAACUAGUUAAAGGACAGGAUGAUUCAAAACCAGGAGGCACUGAUGCUAAAGCAAAGGUUGGCAGCCGACUCAUUGAAUUGUUGCUUCAAACAACCUAUUAACAGCCUCCAGUCAAUUAGUUAGCAGACAGUUCACUUGAUAUUCGAGCUGCAUUUAUACACACUUGUAUAACUGUACGGAAAGAAACAAAGAACUUUAGCGGACAAUAUGCUGUUAUCCAAUGUGAUCCACUUGUUACUAAAGGCCUUGAAAGAACUGCAAGUUCAUUUAUUUCUUCCUAUUCUUCUUUGGGAAAAAUCAGAUACAAUCAUUUCAAAAUAGCACAAUUAUUAAGACACGACUUGGAAAUUUAUUUUUAGUUCAGUUAGUGUAUUAAAUCUUCUAAGGAAUCUUUUGAUGAACUCCAACAUAUAUGGUGUCAAUUUUUCAGGUAGUUGGUUUUCAAUGUGUCUAUUUUCAAAAAACGUAAAUAACAUAUGAUUUGAUUGAAAUUAAAACAAAGACAUUUUUCUUAUUGAUUCAAUGCUUCUCUUGCAGCUUCGUUGGCCAUUGUGAAUUGUGUGGUGAGCAAAUCGAAGAAUGCAUGAAGACCGAUAGGAUUGAGCAUGCCACUAGAAUAUUACCCACAAGCUUGGUAUUGCAAGUGUAGCAAUAAGCUCUUCAUGCCUAAGCUGUAUCAAAAUUUUAUUUCUAAUUUUAUUUCAUUUUGAAACUCCUUUUUAUUUAAGUGGUGUCGUAUCACAUUUUAAUGUUCAAUUGUAU
This is a long non-coding RNA of Olea europaea var. sylvestris, 1061 nucleotides long. RefSeq lists it as uncharacterized. Lineage: Eukaryota; Viridiplantae; Streptophyta; Magnoliopsida; Lamiales; Oleaceae. The transcript has 4 exons. The record is from RefSeq and is a predicted model, not a curated record.